CCGCGUGUGUGAAGAAGGUCUUCGGAUUGUAAAGCACUUUUGGCAGGGACGAUGAUGACGGUACCUGCAGAAUAAGCCCCGGCUAACUUCGUGC
RNAcentral lists this ribosomal RNA (94 nucleotides) under uncultured bacterium. RNAcentral's name for it is "partial 16S ribosomal RNA". It matches the Rfam family "Bacterial small subunit ribosomal RNA", at positions 397 to 508 of the family's 1533-position model. The record is from RNAcentral.